UAGGGCGAAAGCCUGAUGCAGCAACGCCGCGUGCGGGAAGAAGGCCUUAGGGUUGUAAACCGCUUUCAGCAGGGAAGAAAAUGACGGUACCUGUAGAAGAAGGUGCGGCCAACUACGUGCCAGCAGCCGCGGUGACACGUAGGCACCAAGCGUUGUCCGGAUUUAUUGGGCGUAAAGAGCUCGUAGGCGGUUCGGUAAGUCGGGUGUGAAAACUCUGGGCUCAACCCAGAGCCGCCACCCGAUACUGCUGUGACUCGAGUGCGGUAGGGGAGCGGGGAAUUCCUGGUGUAGCGGUGAAAUGCGCAGAUAUCAGGAGGAACACCAGUGGCGAAGGCGCCGCUCUGGGCCGUGACUGACGCUGAGGAGCGAAAGCGUGGGUAGCAAACAGGAUUAGAUACCCUGGUAGUCCACGCCGUAAACGUUGGGCACUAGGUGUGGGUCUCAACCAACGAGAUCCGCGCCGUCGCUAACGCAUUAAGUGCCCCGCCUGGGGAGUACGGUCGCAAGACUA
RNAcentral lists this ribosomal RNA (511 nucleotides) under uncultured Actinomycetes bacterium. RNAcentral describes it as "bacterial SSU rRNA". It matches the Rfam family "Bacterial small subunit ribosomal RNA", at positions 371 to 896 of the family's 1533-position model. The record is from RNAcentral. Lineage: Bacteria; Bacillati; Actinomycetota; Actinomycetes.